RNAcentral lists this long non-coding RNA (450 nucleotides) under Oryza sativa (Asian cultivated rice). Its description in RNAcentral is "long non-coding RNA (OSAT_LNC001726)". The record is from RNAcentral. Lineage: Eukaryota; Viridiplantae; Streptophyta; Magnoliopsida; Poales; Poaceae.
UAGUUAUCUGCCGGCGGCACGACGCUGCCAAGGUAGCGCUUGACAAGGUCCGGGUACUCGCGGAUGGCCUCGGAAAUGGAGCAAAAGAUGACGCCCUUCUUCAUGAGCUCCUCCCGGUGGGUGGUGGCGAUGGAGGUGGAGUCGAUGACGGCAUCGACGGCGACGUUGGCGAGGCGCUUCUGCUCGCUGAGCGGGAUCCCGAGGCGAUCGAAGGUGUUGAGAAGCUCCGGGUCGACCUCGUCGAGGCUGUUGAGCUUGGGCUUGGUCUUGGGCGCGGAGUAGUAGCAGAUGGACUGGAGAUCCACCGGCUCGUACACGUUGUCGCUCCAGGUGGGCUGCACCAUGGUCAGGAACCGGCGGUAGGCGGCGAGGCGGAAGUCGAGCAUCCACGCCGGCUCCGCCUUGAGCUCCGAGAUGCGGCGGACCGUGGCCUCGGAGAGCCCCUUGGGG